AGAGAAAAACAUUGAUGUUAAAGAAAAGAGAAUCUGGCUGCUGAAAUAAGACGAAUUUCUGAUGAACUAAAGGAAGGGCAAUACAUUGAUAAUGUAGUAAAGAAACUAGCCGUCGGUAUAACUGAUGAAAUAAGACGAGUUUCUGAUGAAAGUAUAGCAGAGAAAGUGCAAAACAUUGAUAAUGUUGUAAAGAAUAUGAACGCCAGUAUAACUGCUGAAAUAAGACGAGUUUCUGAUGAACGUAUAGCAGAGAAAGGUAAUCAAUGUAUUUGAGGUCUCAAUUGUGAUUACUUUCAACCAUGAAGACUUAAA
Molecule: long non-coding RNA, 312 nt
Organism: Mytilus californianus (California mussel)
Lineage: Eukaryota; Metazoa; Mollusca; Bivalvia; Mytilida; Mytilidae
Exons: 3
Source: RefSeq, a predicted model, not a curated record